UGGAAGCGAUUGGGAUUGAAAAAGGGAAGUCGUGCUCUGGUCUUAUAAAUGACAACCCCCACCUACUGGUCUGCCGGAAUCCUGGAAAUGGUGUGCUGUACGUGGCUUAUAAUAAGGGUGAGAUGCGGGCUGGGAUAUCUAUUCAUAGGGUCUGCAGUUGUGGAUGCAUCUUCCCUGGGCCUGCCAUGCUUUGAAUCGUCCUGGCAUGAUUGGCAUGUUGCAUCUCGUGUAUGUAUCUCCUGUGUUUGUUGAUGUUGAAGGUGCUUGGUCUCUUGUAAUGUGUGGUUUUGCUUUUAGGUGUGUGAUGGUGUGUGCUGCAUCCCG
Molecule: long non-coding RNA, 324 nt
Filed under: Androctonus crassicauda
Lineage: Eukaryota; Metazoa; Arthropoda; Arachnida; Scorpiones; Buthidae
Source: RNAcentral